GAUGAACGCUGGCGGCGUGCCUAAUACAUGCAAGUCGAGCGAACGGACGAGAAGCUUGCUUUUCUGAUGUUAGCGGCGGACGGGUGAGUAACACGUGGAUAACCUACCUAUAAGACUGGGAUAACUUCGGGAAACCGGAGCUAAUACCGGAUAAUAUUUUGAACCGCAUGGUUCAAAAGAGAAAGACGGUCCUGCUGUCACUUAUAGAUGGAUCCGCGCUGCAUUAGCUAGUUGGUAAGGUAACGGCUUACCAGGGCAACGAUGCAUAGCCGACCUGAGAGGGUGAUCGGCCACACUGGAACUGAGACACGGUCCAGACUCCUACGGGAGGCAGCAGUAGGGAAUCUUCCGCAAUGGGCGAAAGCCUGACGGAGCAACGCCGCGUGAGUGAUGAAGGUCUUCGGAUCGUAAAACUCUGUUAUUAGGGAAGAACAUAUGUGUAAGUAACUGUGCACAUCUUGACGGUACCUAAUCAGAAAGCCACGGCUAACUACGUG
RNAcentral lists this ribosomal RNA (497 nucleotides) under uncultured bacterium. RNAcentral describes it as "partial 16S ribosomal RNA". It matches the Rfam family "Bacterial small subunit ribosomal RNA", at positions 28 to 507 of the family's 1533-position model. The record is from RNAcentral.